RNAcentral lists this ribosomal RNA (569 nucleotides) under Yarrowia lipolytica. RNAcentral describes it as "eukaryotic LSU rRNA". The stretch from base 54 to 202 matches the Rfam family "5.8S ribosomal RNA". The record is from RNAcentral. Lineage: Eukaryota; Fungi; Ascomycota; Dipodascomycetes; Dipodascales.
GAUUGUACGUUAUUGUGGAUUACUUAUAUCUAACUAAUCUAUUUUUUAAUUACAACUAUCAACAACGGAUCUCUUGGCUCUCGCAUCGAUGAAGAACGCAGCGAACCGCGAUAUUUUUUGUGACUUGCAGAUGUGAAUCAUCAAUCUUUGAACGCACAUUGCGCGGUGUGGCAUUCCGCACCGCACGGAUGGACGAGCGUGUUCCCUCUGGGAUCGCAUCGCUUUUCUGAAAUGAAUGAAUUACUUCAAUACACUCUUUUCACCUCGUUCAUCCGAGACUACCCGCUGAACUUAAGCAUAUCAAUAAGCGGGAACGAGGUGAAAAGAGUGUAUUGAAGUAAUUCAUUCAUUUCAGAAAAGCGAUGCGAUCCCAGAGGGAACACGCUCGUCCAUCCGUGCGGUGCGGAAUGCCACACCGCGCAAUGUGCGUUCAAAGAUUGAUGAUUCACAUCUGCAAGUCACAAAAAAUAUCGCGGUUCGCUGCGUUCUUCAUCGAUGCGAGAGCCAAGAGAUCCGUUGUUGAUAGUUGUAAUUAAAAAAUAGAUUAGUUAGAUAUAAGUAAUUCCACA